Molecule: non-coding RNA, 2453 nt
Organism: Chlorocebus sabaeus (green monkey)
Lineage: Eukaryota; Metazoa; Chordata; Mammalia; Primates; Cercopithecidae
Source: RefSeq, a predicted model, not a curated record
AAGCUGUUAAAGUGCCGGGUUUCAUGUUUAAGAUGGCGUCCCCUGUGGCAGCGCAAGCUGGAAGGCUUUUGCGAGCCCUAGCAUUGCGGUCCGGCUUCCUGGUGGCUGGGUCCCAGGCAGUUCAAUUAACCUCCAAAAGAUGGCUGCGCUUGCAGGAAUACCAGAGCAAGAAACUUAUGUCUAAUAAUGGAGUGAGAGUUCAAAGAUUCUUUGUAGCAGACACUGUGAAUGAAGCUCUGGAGGCUGCUAAGAGACUAAAUGCAAAAGAAAUUGUUUUAAAAGCCCAGAUCUUAGCUGGAGGAAGAGGAAAACGUGUCUUUAAUAGUGGUUUGAAAGGAGGUGUUCAUUUAACAAAAGACCCUAAGGUUGUGGGAUAGCUGGCUAAACAAAUGAUUGGGUACAAUCUAGCAACAAAACAAACUCCAAAAGAAGGUGUGAAAGUUAACAAGGUGAUGGUUGCUGAAGACUUUGACAUUUCCAGAGUAACCUACCUGGCAAUUCUGAUGGACAAGUCCUGCAAUGGCCCUGUGCUGGUGGGCAGCCCCCAGGGGGGCGUCGACAUUGAAGAGGUGGCUGCUUCAAACCCAGAGCUCAUUUUUAAGGAGCAAAUUGACAUUUUUGAAGGAAUAAAGGACAGCCAAGCUCAGCGGAUGGCAGAAAAUCUAGGCUUGGUUGGGCCUUUGAAAAGCCAGGCUGCAGAUCAACUUACGAAGCUGUAUAAUCUCUUUCUGAAAAUUGGUGCUACUCAGGUGGAAGUGAAUCUCUUUGGUGAAACUCCAGAAGGAUAAGUUGUCUGUUUUGAUGCCAAGAUAAACUUUGACGACAAUGCAGAAUUCCAACAAAAAGACAUAUUUUCUAUGGAUGACAAAUCAGAGAAUGAGCCCAUUGAAAAUGAAGCUGCCAAAUAUGAUCUAAAAUACAUAGGACUAGAUGGGAACAUUGCCUGCUUUGUGAAUGGUGCUGGGCUCGCCAUGGCUACUUGUGAUAUCAUUUUCCUUAAUGGUGGGAAGCCAGCCAACUUCUUGGGUCUUGGAGGUGGUGUAAAGGAAGCUCAAGUGUAUCAAGCAUUCAAAUUGCUCACAGCUGAUCCUAAAGUUGAAGCCAUCCUUGUCAAUAUUUUUGGCGGUAUCGUCAACUGUGCCAUCAUUGCCAAUGGGAUCACCAAAGCCUGCUGGGAGCUAGAACUCAAGGUGCCCCUGGUGGUCCGGCUUGAAGGAACCAAUGUCCAAGAGGCCCAGAAGAUAACAACAGCGGACUCCCCAUUACUUCAGCCAUUGACCUGGAGGAUGCAGCCAAGAAGGCUGUGGCCAGUGUGGCCAAGAAGUGACGUCUUUGUCCUGAUCCGAUGGGGAAAGAAAGCCAUUUUUCCAUAAAAAGGGACGGUUCAUCAUUGUGAAAGAAACGGUUAUCUCAUUGUGGAGGAAAAGGGGGGAGAAGGCAAGAAUCACUGAAAAAUCUUAAAUCUGUGUUUUCUGGAAUAAUAUAUGUAGACAGCCUAAAUCUGAUUUUAGUAUAAAAAUAAUAUCUUGUAUUCUCAUACUUUUCUGUCAUUGUAAGCCUGCCCAGUAGGCAGUGUUUUGCAGACUUUGGGAAGUGGUCUAUGUGGCCAAAUAUUGUGUGUAUAGACAGAAUUUGAAAUCAGGUCCUGCUUCAUUUACAAGUAUUUUGGUGGGCAUCUAAUCCUACAUAAUGAAAAAGAAAAACAGACCAUUUAAAAACUCAGACAAGAUUAUAUUUAAUGUAUUAAUUGCUAAAAAGGCACAAGAUUGCACUGAACAUAUUAGCUACUAAAAAGGCACUGCCAAGACAUUCAAGCAAAUAGCUAUUACACACUGCAGCAGAUUUUACAGGUUUCUAAUUCCAACAUAUGUUUGAAAAAUCCAUGAGUGUUCCAAAAUAUAUUUGAUGGAAGGUCUGCAUUAAUAUACCAUUCAUGUGUUUUUACCAUUUGCCUUAAUAUUGAAUAUACUAUUUACCUCACACUAAAAAGAAAACCAGAAACCUUAUUUGUGAUUUUGGAGUGGAAGCUUCCAUUUUUGUGUCAAAAAUGAAUCCCGAUUCUUAUGGAAAUCUCUGUUAUUAAGUCAUUUAAAGAUGAGACAACACUGAAGAUCAAAUUGUGUUGGGUAUCAGGAUCUUCUCUCCUCAUUUAUCUCUUACUCCUCAUCCUCCCAGAAUCUACCAGUUUAUGGUAGAAAGAUGGGAACCUUAUUUGAAUGUUCGUUUUGUUUUGUUUUGUUUUUUUCCACGAUGUCUAAUUUUGUUGUGGGAAAGGAUUUGGAUAAAGUUUUUGUUAAAAUUUUGGUAGAUUUUUAUCUAUACAAAUUUAAAUAAAAUUAUGUUUUGUAAGCUGUUAAAAAAAAAAAAAGGCUGUUAGAACUGUCCUUGGAAGAACUGAACCAGAACCAGUGCAGCUGUGGUUGAGAUGGAAAGAUGAUGAUUUUGAGAUGUAU